RNAcentral lists this ribosomal RNA (390 nucleotides) under uncultured bacterium. Its description in RNAcentral is "bacterial SSU rRNA". It matches the Rfam family "Bacterial small subunit ribosomal RNA", at positions 28 to 417 of the family's 1533-position model. The record is from RNAcentral.
AUUGAACGCUGGCGGCAUGCUUUACACAUGCAAGUCGAGCGGCAGCGCGGGGGCAACCCUGGCGGCGAGCGGCGAACGGGUGAGUAAUGCAUCGGAACGUACCCUGGAGUGGGGGGAUAACGCCGCGAAAGCGGCGCUAAUACCGCAUAUGCUCUGAGGAGGAAAGUGGGGGACCUGCAAGGGCCUCACGCUCUGGGAGCGGCCGAUGUCCGAUUAGCUAGUUGGUGGGGUAGAGGCUUACCAAGGCGACGAUCGGUAGCUGGUCUGAGAGGAUGAUCAGCCACACUGGGACUGAGACACGGCCCAGACUCCUACGGGAGGCAGCAGUGGGGAAUUUUGGACAAUGGGGGCAACCCUGAUCCAGCCAUGCCGCGUGAGUGAAGAAGGCCU